GGCUGGUCUGAGUGCAGUGGUGUUUACAACUAAUUGAUCACAACCAGUUACACAUUUCUUUGUUCCUUUUCCACUCCCACUGCUUCACUUGACCAGCCUUUA
Molecule: Y RNA, 102 nt
Filed under: Propithecus coquereli (Coquerel's sifaka)
Lineage: Eukaryota; Metazoa; Chordata; Mammalia; Primates; Indriidae
Description: Y RNA (ENSPCOG00000000635.1)
Rfam family: Y RNA
About the family: Y RNAs are components of the Ro ribonucleoprotein particle (Ro RNP), in association with Ro60 and La proteins.
Source: Rfam by way of RNAcentral